UACAGAGGGGGCAAGCGUUGUUCGGAAUUACUGGGCGUAAAGGGCGCGUAGGCGGCCUGUUAAGUCGAACGUGAAAUCCCUGGGCUCAACCCAGGAACUGCGUCCGAUACUGGCAGGCUUGAAUCCGGGAGAGGGAUGUGGAAUUCCAGGUGUAGCGGUGAAAUGCGUAGAUAUCUGGAGGAACACCGGUGGCGAAGGCGGCAUCCUGGACCGGUAUUGACGCUGAGGCGCGAAAGCGUGGGGAGCGAACAGG
RNAcentral lists this ribosomal RNA (253 nucleotides) under uncultured bacterium. RNAcentral describes it as "partial 16S ribosomal RNA". It matches the Rfam family "Bacterial small subunit ribosomal RNA", at positions 524 to 776 of the family's 1533-position model. The record is from RNAcentral.